Molecule: long non-coding RNA, 580 nt
Filed under: Dermacentor andersoni
Lineage: Eukaryota; Metazoa; Arthropoda; Arachnida; Ixodida; Ixodidae
Description: uncharacterized LOC126527543
Source: RNAcentral
UUUACGCUUUGGUGGCUCCCGAGCCGCCGCCGACCAAAGUGCUGGGAGCGACCGUUGGACUAGUGGACGGUGCUCACUGGAAGCAACCACCGUGGAUCGGCAGGGCGUUCUUUUCCCUGCUCAGUGAUCCACCCGCUUUGCUUCUGAAUCGGCUGGAUCGCUCCGACACCGGAAGUUACGUGUGCAACGUUUCGUACAACGGUGACAACGUAACCGACGCGGAUGUGACCAUAACGGAGGCUAUCGUGGAUCUGUUUAUAGCAGUUCCUCAGCAGCCGCCGGUUAUUAAGGACUCCCAAGGCAACCAACUGCGCGCUACAGCAGGGCCUUACGCUGAGGGCGACACCGUGGUGCUGACUUGCGCUGUGCCAGCCGCUGCCCACAAACUCACGCUCGCCUGGAGACGAAACGGCCAACCCCUGGGAUCAACGGCAGCUACCGUCGCGACGCCUAGCGGAGGAUGGGAGAACCAUCUCGAACUCGGUGCUUUGUUCCGCGAGGACUUGUUCGCAAACGUUAGCUGCGUGGCAACCAGCGACGUCACGCUGCCUGCAGAAAGCUCGGUGCUUAUCGACAUGUU